Molecule: ribosomal RNA, 737 nt
Filed under: uncultured bacterium
Lineage: Bacteria
Description: bacterial SSU rRNA
Rfam family: Bacterial small subunit ribosomal RNA
Source: RNAcentral
AGAGUUUGAUCCUGGCUCAGAACGAACGCUGGCGGCAGGCCUAACACAUGCAAGUCGAGCGCCCGCAAGGGAGCGGCAGACGGGUGAGUAACGCGUGGGAACGUGCCCUUUGGUUCGGAAUAUUCCCGGGAAACUGGGAGCAAAACCGGAUAAGCCCUUCGGGGGAAAGUUUACGCCAAAGGAUCGGCCCGCGUCAGAUUAGGUAGUUGGUGGGGUAACGGCCUACCAAGCCUACGAUCUAUAGCUGAUCUGAGAGGAUGAUCAGCCACACUGGGACUGAGACACGGCCCAGACUCCUACGGGAGGCAGCAGUGGGGAAUCUUGGACAAUGGGCGCAAGCCUGAUCCGGCCAUGCCGCGUGGAUGACUGAAGGCCCUAGGGUUGUAAAGUCCUUUCGACGGGGACGAUAAUGACGGUACCCGUAGAAGAAGCCCCGGCUAACUUCGUGCCAGCAGCCGCGGUAAUACGAAGGGGGCUAGCGUUGUUCGGAUUUACUGGGCGUAAAGGGCGCGUAGGCGGAUUUUUAAGUCGGGGGUGAAAUCCCGGAGCUCAACUCCGGAACUGCCUUCGAUACUGGAAGUCUGGAGCACGGUAGAGGUGAGUGGAAUUCCGAGUGUAGAGGUGAAAUUCGUAGAUAUUCGGAGGAACACCAGUGGCGAAGGCGGCUCACUGGACCGUUGCUGACGCUGAGGCGCGAAAGCGUGGGGAGCGAACAGGAUUAGAUACCCUGGUAGUCC